GUGCCGUUCACGAAGGGGAUGAACCGCUUCUUGCCC
Molecule: small RNA, 36 nt
Filed under: Propionibacterium ruminifibrarum
Lineage: Bacteria; Bacillati; Actinomycetota; Actinomycetes; Propionibacteriales; Propionibacteriaceae
Description: Propionibacterium sp. JV5 CRISPR_Spacer
Source: RNAcentral